This 490-nucleotide ribosomal RNA is filed under the name uncultured bacterium. RNAcentral's name for it is "partial 16S ribosomal RNA". It matches the Rfam family "Bacterial small subunit ribosomal RNA", at positions 29 to 507 of the family's 1533-position model. The record is from RNAcentral.
AGUGAACGCUGGCGGCAGGCCUAACACAUGCAAGUCGAACGGCAGCACAAGAGAGCUUGCUCUCUGGGUGGCGAGUGGCGGACGGGUGAGGAAUGCAUCGGAAUCUGCCCAUUUGUGGGGGAUAACCUCGGGAAACCGGGACUAAUACCGCAUACGACCUACGGGUGAAAGCAGGGGCUCUUCGGACCUUGCGCAGAUGGAUGAGCCGAUGCCGGAUUAGCUAGUUGGAGGGGUAACGGCCCACCAAGGCGACGAUCGGUAGCUGGUCUGAGAGGAUGAUCAGCAACACUGGGACGGGGACACGCCCCAGACUCCUACGGGAGGCAGCAGUGGGGAAUAUUGGACAGUGGGCGCAAGCCUGUUCCAGGCAUUCCGCGUGUGUGAAGAAGGCCUUCGGGUUGUAAAGCACUUUUGUUGGGAAAGAAAAGCAGCCGGUUAAUACCCGGUUGUCAUGACGGUACCCAAAGAAUAAGCACCGGCUAACUUCGUG